RNAcentral lists this ribosomal RNA (507 nucleotides) under Triticum aestivum (bread wheat). RNAcentral's name for it is "partial small subunit ribosomal RNA". Lineage: Eukaryota; Viridiplantae; Streptophyta; Magnoliopsida; Poales; Poaceae. The record is from RNAcentral.
AUGAUCCGUGCUCAGGAUGGGCCACCUUCACCGCAGGAUAUCUCGAGGAGGGUGCAUGUGGCGGGUAGGGCGAUGCUACCGACAAAUAUGCUCAAUGCUGCAACCGGUGCUAUGCGGAGUCUGCAAGACAGUGUUCUUUCUUUGGAGAAGCGGCGUCUCAGAGAGAAGGAUGUGGCAUACCCGGUUUUCGCGGCCAAGGUGCCAGAGGGCAAGGGCUUUGUGGAUAACUCCAUCGGGCGUACGAUCAUCCUGCGUUUUGAUGACAUCCACGCUAUGUUGAACCUUCAUCCGCUGCACUACACCUUCGUUCGGCUAUUUUCGCUGAGUAUGGAGAUGCGGAUCAUUCGCGACAAGACCCCGGACAUUGUGAUAGUCGACCCCUUCUACAUGCGUGCCAAGAUCUUGGGCAGCGCUGGGGACCGGCAAGUCGCGAGUUCUUACCUCGAAGGCGUCAUUCUGGCAAACCAAGAUAAGGAUAACUUCCUCGUGCCUUACUUUCCCGAGUAA